GUGUCUCCAAGAGAGUAGAGCCUGAUAUCCUAGAGAACAAUAAACAAGGAAGUUACAUUUGGUCAGGAAUGUGGGUAUAAUAAAGGAACUUUCCCCACAGUAAGUUAAAGUCAGUAAAUUUGAAAAAAGAGUGCCUUUUAGGCCUUGCCCGCAACAUUGUUUGAUUCUUACUGGCAGCUGUGCACCCUGUGUUUUCUCUCCCCUUUCCAAAAUGUAAGUUUUCUACUCUGGUUAUAUUGUCAUUGUACACAGGACUGAUAGUUUGUCCUUUAUAUCAUACUUUUCAAGACCACAACAACUGGGUCCAGCCAUAGUAGAGAACUACUCAAUAUCCAGAGAUCUUGAAUGGUCUUUCAACUAUCUAUGAGCCUGAUGAGGAGCUUGAUCUCAUGAACAAUGACCAUGACCAGAGCUGAAAUCCAGAGUCAGAUGCUUAACCAACUGGGCCACCCAGGGGCUCCUGUUAUCCAUCUCUUGAUCCCAGAGGAAAUCUGUCUUUUAUUCCUCUUGGCUUGGAUUUCCUCUGUGUUGGCUUCAUUGGGGUAAAGAUGGCAAAUGGCUGACUCAGGCUACAACUCAGGCUUUAAACCUACACAUUCUGAUGUCUUUCAGGCACUAAUAUGGGAUUGAGUUUGGCCUGAUACGGCAUUCUAUCUCCUAGUACCAUCAUCCAUAUGUCAUAUGAAAAAUAGAAUUGACUUUGUAUAUGGUAUACUUUGUUUUUCCUGUAUAUAAUUAAUGAUGUUCCAACAUCAUCUGCUGAGUUAGAUACAGAAGAGUUUUCCUACUGAUUUGUAAAGGCAUUGCUACCAGACAGAUGUUCAAAUGGGAGGCUAUGAAUCAUGCCUUUCUAAUCUGUUUAUUGUUUGUCUACCACUGUCCCAUCAUCACACAGCUGGUAUCCCUAAGCGUCUUAAUAUUUGACAGGAUGAAGUGCUCCUCCUAUUGCUACAGCUUUAAAUUUGUCUCUGCUAUGCAUUGCCCUUCAUUAUUCCACAUGGGUUUGUAGUUUACUUGUCAGCUUUGCAAAUCAUUUUUGGGAUUUGGAUCAGAAGCACAUCCAAUUUAUAGAUUAAUUUGCAGAACAUUGACAUUCUUACGACAUUUAGUCUCUCCCACGAUGGGUACAGGAUCCAUUUCCUGUUUUGCAUAUUAGUGUGCACUUUUAGUAGUGAUAGUUGUAGUAGUAGUAAUGAUAACAACAACCAGUUGCAUGGUGGACACUGUGGCAGACGUUGUUCUCAAUGUUCUGUCUGUGUAUCAACUCCUAUAUUGCUGCUGGUGGGAAGUAUUAUCUACGUUACACUAAUGAUGAAACUGAGGUACAGGGAACUUAAUGACAUGUGCUGUUAUUUAAGAGGAAGAGUUGAUAUUUGAACCCAUGCAGUGUGCCUCUUCACUAAGAUCGGAUAAUGCCUCCCUAAGAACGUGGAUCUCCUUUUUAGUGAUUCUACCAUUGGUUUAGUACCUUAGAUUUUCUCAUUAAAUAAUAACACUUUAUGUGCAUAACUGCAAUAAAAGUAUUGUUACACCCCCA
Felis catus (domestic cat) is the source of this 1537-nucleotide long non-coding RNA. RefSeq lists it as uncharacterized. NCBI's taxonomy places the organism in Eukaryota, Metazoa, Chordata, Mammalia, Carnivora, Felidae. The transcript has 4 exons. The record is from RefSeq and is a predicted model, not a curated record.